Molecule: ribosomal RNA, 359 nt
Filed under: Acanthamoeba genotype T5
Lineage: Eukaryota; Discosea; Longamoebia; Acanthamoebidae
Description: SSU rRNA
Rfam family: Eukaryotic small subunit ribosomal RNA
Source: RNAcentral
UUUUCCUGCCACCGAAUACAUUAGCAUGGGAUAAUGGAAUAGGACCCUGACCUCCUAUUUUCAGUUGGUUUUGUUUACAGCGAGGUUAUAUCAGGGUAAUGAUUAAUAGGGAUAGUUGGGGGCAUUAAUAUUUAAUUGUCAGAGGUGAAAUUCUUGGAUUUAUGAAAGAUUAACUUCUGCGAAAGCGUUUGCCAAGGAUGUUUUCAUUAAUCAAGAACGAAAGUUAGGGGAUCGAAGACGAUCAGAUACCGUCGUAGUCUUAACCAUAAACGAUGCCGACCAGCGAUUAGGAGACGUUGAAUACAAAACACCGCCGUUAAUCCUUUCGGGGGUUAAUGGUUGGUGAAUGACUCCCCUAG